AUGGCACCCCAUCCAGUUUGGAAGAAGUUGUGGAGUUUGAGAGUGCCAGCGAAAGUUAAAAUUUAUAUCUGGAGAUGCUUGCACAAUGCCAUCCCAUGCCGGAGUACUCUUAUGAAUCGCCAUGUUGGAAACUUGUCCCAAUGCCCAUACUGUACAGAUGGUGCGGAGGACAUAGCCCAUAUGUUGUUUAAGUGUGCAAGGGCGCAAGCAGUUUGGGUAGCUUUGGGAAUCGCAGCAGAUAAUAACUUCGCUUCAUUGGCUGAUCGAGCAGGUUCAGCAGUCUUGGAAUUCAUUUUAUUUGAUGAUUCUUAUCGAGGACAAUAUUGUGGAUUGGUCGAGCUACCAGAGCUCAUAUCAACAGUUUGUUGGUUCUUAUGGUGGCAAAGAAGACAGUUCGUGCAAGGGGAAGAAAUAUUGACUCCAGAACGAACAGCGCCGGCGGUGGUUGCCCUAGCGAUUAAUUAUGUGCGCGGAGCACAAGCUAAAUCUACACCCAAGAUCAACAGGUGGCCGACGUUCCUAGCAGGACAGCUUGUCCUUAAUGUCGAUGUUUCAUUCACAGAGGGCGAUUAUGCUGGGUCUUUUGGUGCUGUCAUCCGUGAUCACCGAGGAUCUUUCAUGUCGGCGUCCACGGCGAGAUUAGAACAUGUAGCUGAUGUUUUCACGGCAGAAGCGGCAGCUCUGCUUGAAGGACUGAAGCUAGCAAGAGAUACGGGAUGCAAUAACUUGGUGGUGAGAUCGGAUAAUAUCACGGUGGUGAAUGCACUUAGAUUCAAUGAAGGUUAUUCUAUGGUGGUAGCACCGGUUCUUGAUGAAUGUCGUAGUUAUCUAGUAGAUUUGGGGAGGUUUACUAUUGACCAUUGUAUUAGAGAGUCAAAUUAUGUAGCUCAUGAGCUGACUAGAUCGGGACGUGCUAAUAAUCCAUCUCGUUGGAUUGGGGCCCCUCCUGAUUUCAUUGUGAGUCUGCUAGCAGACGAUAUAUCCGUCCUUUGA
Molecule: ribosomal RNA, 993 nt
Filed under: Triticum aestivum (bread wheat)
Lineage: Eukaryota; Viridiplantae; Streptophyta; Magnoliopsida; Poales; Poaceae
Description: partial small subunit ribosomal RNA
Source: RNAcentral